GAUGAACGCUAGCUACAGGCUUAACACAUGCAAGUCGCGGGGCAGCAUGGGGGUUGCUUGCCAUCCCCGAUGGCGACCGGCGCACGGGUGAGUAACGCGUAUCCAACCUGCCCUUCACCACGGGAUAACCCGGCGAAAGUCGGACUAAUACCGUAUGUUGUCCAUUGACGGCAUCCGAUUUGGACGAAAGGUUUGGCGGUGAAGGAUGGGGAUGCGUCCGAUUAGCUGGACGGCGGGGUGACGGCCCACCGUGGCGACGAUCGGUAGGGGUUCUGAGAGGAAGGUCCCCCACACUGGAACUGAGACACGGCCCAGACUCCUACGGGAGGCAGCAGUGAGGAAUAUUGGUCAAUGGGCGUAAGCCUGAACCAGCCAAGUAGCGUGCAGGAUGACGGCCCUAUGGGUUGUAAACUGCUUUUAUGCGGGGAUAAAGUGGCCCACGUGUGGGUUUUUGCAGGUACCGCAUGAAUAAGGACCGGCUAAUUCCGUG
RNAcentral lists this ribosomal RNA (490 nucleotides) under uncultured bacterium. RNAcentral's name for it is "partial 16S ribosomal RNA". It matches the Rfam family "Bacterial small subunit ribosomal RNA", at positions 28 to 507 of the family's 1533-position model. The record is from RNAcentral.